RNAcentral lists this ribosomal RNA (253 nucleotides) under uncultured bacterium. RNAcentral describes it as "partial 16S ribosomal RNA". It matches the Rfam family "Bacterial small subunit ribosomal RNA", at positions 524 to 776 of the family's 1533-position model. The record is from RNAcentral.
UACGUAGGGCGCAAGCGUUAUCCGGAAUUAUUGGGCGUAAAGAGCUCGUAGGCGGUCUGUCGCGUCUGCUGUGAAAACUCAGGGCUUAACCCUGAGCUUGCAGUGGGUACGGGUAGACUAGAGUGCGGUAGGGGAGACUGGAAUUCCUGGUGUAGCGGUGAAAUGCGCAGAUAUCAGGAGGAACACCGGUGGCGAAGGCGGGUCUCUGGGCCGUAACUGACGCUGAGGAGCGAAAGCAUGGGGAGCGAACAGG